This 253-nucleotide ribosomal RNA is filed under the name uncultured bacterium. RNAcentral's name for it is "partial 16S ribosomal RNA". It matches the Rfam family "Bacterial small subunit ribosomal RNA", at positions 524 to 776 of the family's 1533-position model. The record is from RNAcentral.
UACAGAGGGUGCGAGCGUUAUUCGGAAUUACUGGGCGUAAAGCGCGCGCAGGCGGCUUUGUAAGUCGGGUGUGAAAUCCCCAGGCUUAACCUGGGAACUGCAUUCGAGACUGCAUUGCUAGAGUAUGGGAGAGGGAAGUGGAAUUUCCGGUGUAGCGGUGAAAUGCGUAGAUAUCGGAAGGAACAUCAGUGGCGAAAGCGACUUCCUGGACCAAUACUGACGCUCAUGUGCGAAAGCGUGGGGAGCAAACAGG